GUUUUGGACAGGACCGACCUCUAGAGGCACCGCACCGCAUAGAACAGAGGAGCACAGCAGAAUAGAGAAGCAGGCCGCCGCGCUGCCCGCAGCACCGAUCCAUCCAUCCAUCCAUCCAUCCAUCAGGUACCAACCCCAACGCCUCCCCUUCUCCCUCCCUCCACUCCACCCCACUCUCCCUCUCUCUUUCUCUUCCUACACUCGAACGGAACGGUGCUGAUAUCAUCCGCGCCGCCGCACGUUGCAGAGGGGAAAAAGAAGGCAAGGAAAAGGCGCUUUCCGAGCAGAAAAAAAGGAUCUGGCCGCUUUACGCUUCUCCUCCGCGGGAUUUUGAUUCCCCCCACACCAUCAUCCACCAAUCAUCGUCGUCGCCAGGCGGGCGGCGCGCUAGCUAGGACCACAGAAGUCAACGCCGGCGGCGGGCCGCGCUCAGAUCCGAAGGCGGGGCAGGCGAACAGCGGCGGUGAUCGAUGGGGUCGUUCAAGGGCCACGUGCUGCCGGGGACGCUGUUCCUGGCGGUGGGCGCGUGGCACGUGUGGGCGGCGGUGGCGCGCUUCGCCAUGGACCCGGCCGGGUUCCGCCUCCGCGUCUGGAACCCCGUGGGCAGCGGCAGCGGGGCGCUGCGGCACCUGGAGCUCUACGUCAUCGCCGGGGGCGCCUUCCUGGACAUGUGCGUGGAGGUGCUCUACUCCACCCACCUCCACAUAUUCGCGCCCGGCGGCGGGGUCAACCCGGCGCACCUCAACGACCUCGAGCACGGCGGCAUGCUGCUCAUGUUCUUCCUCGUCGGCGCCCUCGCCCUCCUCUCCGAGAACACCAGGUACCUGCCCCUGACGGAGGGCGCGCUGAGCCUGCUGGCGGCGACGGCCUUCACGGCCGAGCUGCUGCUCUUCUACUUCCACUCGACCACGCACCAGGGGCUGGAGGGGUACUACCACUACCUCCUGGUGGUGCUCGUCGGGCUCUGCGUCGCCUCCAACGUCCUCGGCGCGCUCCUCCCGGCGAGCUUCCCCGCCGACCUGGCCAGCGGCCUGCUCAUCACCCUGCAGGGCCUGUGGUUCUACCAGACGGCCUUCACGCUCUACGGGCCGAUGCUCCCCGAGGGGUGCCACCGCGACGCCGCCGGGGACAUCGAGUGCCACGGGCACGCCGCGGGGGAGCGCGCGGAGCAGCUCGCCGACUUCCAGCUCUUCGCCUACGUCUUCCUCGUCUUCGCCUACGCCCUCGGCUGCUACGCCGUCGCCGCCGCCAAGUACGGCCACCCGGACCUGAGGGCCGUCGAGAUGGAGCACCGGGAAAAUGGCGCCGGCAGUGGUGGAAGAUUCGUUGGCAGCUCGGUGCUGUCUAGUGGCAUAUGAAUGACAUGAUAUGACUUCUGCUCUGUUUUUCGCCAUUGUCGUCUUGUUCGAUUUGGUAGAGUACACGCGACGGGCACAUCAUUGAGGGGCGGACCUGAACCUGAGGUCAGUCGGUACAAGAAUAGAGAGGGGCUGUACAUUCUGGUUAGUUAAUUACACAGCAAAAUCACAGAUCAACGUUCCUUUAGUUUUACUGUGAAGAUCAAUGAACAUUUUUACAUGAGAGGAUUAGCAUAGGACUGUAAGAGAGUCCAUCACAGAGGGGGUUUUACUAGCAGAAAUUUGGUUUUGUACACCAGGUGUGGAUUACCAGAAAUUUGGUUUCUGUCUGCCUUCAAGUAUACCAUCAGUUCAUGCGAACCUUGAGAGUUCUCC
RNAcentral lists this ribosomal RNA (1733 nucleotides) under Triticum aestivum (bread wheat). RNAcentral's name for it is "partial small subunit ribosomal RNA". The record is from RNAcentral. Lineage: Eukaryota; Viridiplantae; Streptophyta; Magnoliopsida; Poales; Poaceae.